GGGGUUGUGGCUCAGUGGUAAAAGCUCUUACCUAGCAGGAGCAAGGCCCUGGGUUCGAUCCUCAGCACCACA
RNAcentral lists this transfer RNA (72 nucleotides) under Marmota monax (woodchuck). RNAcentral describes it as "tRNA.Ala". The record is from RNAcentral. Lineage: Eukaryota; Metazoa; Chordata; Mammalia; Rodentia; Sciuridae.